Dicentrarchus labrax (European seabass) is the source of this 405-nucleotide long non-coding RNA. RefSeq lists it as uncharacterized. The record is from RefSeq and is a predicted model, not a curated record. The transcript has 2 exons. Lineage: Eukaryota; Metazoa; Chordata; Actinopteri; Moronidae.
AUAUAUUUUUCCAGAGCAUUUCAACACUGUGUACACCUAGUGUUUGAGGCCGCGCAGAGACACAUUUGGUGUGACAGAUGUACACAGCACAUGAGCAGCAGAGGGCAAGAGCUGAAAUGCCUUGGCCAGUGAAUGACUCUUUCUGUCAAACUUCAGGGAUAAGCAUGAAUUUCUCAUGACCUCAAACACAAUGGUGGCAGCAUUUGAUGACGCGAAUGGAAAAACUCAAAAAUAAGAUGCAAAGGCUCAGAGGGAGUGUGAGCUCGACCUGGAUGUUCUGCAGACAGCACACUCCUCUAAUGAUGAAAAUAAACAGGCUCUCGCCACAAAGCCACCUCAGGAAAAUGUCGAAGACGUUACAAUACUGUAAUUGAAGAUUCUUAAUAAAGGAUAUUGUGGAGCUUU